Cyprinus carpio carpio is the source of this 2209-nucleotide long non-coding RNA. NCBI's taxonomy places the organism in Eukaryota, Metazoa, Chordata, Actinopteri, Cypriniformes, Cyprinidae. The record is from Ensembl.
UUUCAAUGAAAGUCUUUCUUUAUGAGAACUAACUUUUGGGCUUCUGUCCUCAAGUUCAUUCACUCAGGUGUCCUAGCAGAGAAGCCACAGUAAACUAUGGAUUACUGUAAUCCAUUAAUGUUUGACCCACAAUGUCAGCAGCAGUGGCUGUAAUGAGCACACGAUGAAGGAAUAAACAUAAUCUGUCUUUAUUAAUACACAUAUUAACACACAGGAGAUUGCUGGAGGUCACAGAAACACAACCACAUUAAACAUAGAAAGGAUCGGACACAGACCAAAGAGAACGGUAAUUAACUGAAACUAACGACAGGUGAAAACGAAUCCAAAACUAAUGAUAGUAACACAAGCAAAAUGGGAACAAGAAAAACCAAAAUGCAAAGAAUGGUUGUUUUUCAUUUGAACAGUGUUUUUUUUUUUUUUAAUUUGAAAUUAAAUGUUCAGAUUUUUCAAAUGUUUUGCUUGAAAAGUGUAUUUGCAUGUGUACUGGACAUGUUUUUGUAAUAUUAAAUAAAUGCCUUUUGGUUUGUUAUACUAUGAGAUGCACACACUACACUUUUAACUGUGCCUUACAUUUAUUUUCCUGCUGUGCAGUCCUUACAGUAAUUAUUAAAAAUAAAAUAAAAUGGUGUAUAAAAAAUUUUAACCACUUUUUUUUUCUGGACAUUUUUUAUCUUCAUAUUUUCAUUCUGACUAAAAAUCUUUUUAUCUGCACUGUUUGUUCACUGGUUUGCACUCUAUCUGCCAUGUGCCUUGCGCUGCUUUUAUUUAACCUUAUUUUAUUUUAUUUUUUCUAUUAUGUCUUUUUUACAUUCCCUUAUUGUAUAGUUUUUAUCUUAUAUUUUAUAUUUGAUCUAGAUUUUUAGGCUCUACUGUUAGUGUUAUCUGUAUGCACCGGGGGUCUGAGAGUAACGCAAUUUCGAUUCUCUGUAUGUAUGUACUGUACAUGUGGAAGAAUUGACAAUAAAGCAGACUUGACUUGACUUGACUAACUGCACUCACAAGUGAAUAUUAAAUUAUGUUGUGGGAUAAUUAAAUAUAUUCUAAAUAAACUACAAACAUAAAAUUAUAUACAUUUAUUUUGUCCUCACAUUCUUUCUUGUAACUCAUCCCUCUCAGUCACACAGCUGACUGAAUGGCUCAUUAUGCAGCUCAUUAUGCAGGCCUUUGUCUUCUCAGGUGUGAAUUCAUGAUAGUUGACGCCUACUCGCAUAUGACUUUUACCAACAAAAAGUCUCUUAGAAAAUUUAAAUCAAUAUAUUGUUGUCCAUAAGUCAGUAAACAAGAUGAAUUUUAACAUCAUUUAGAAAGAAAAAUUCUAGGCUACAAGCUCCAGUUCUCAAAAGUCCCAGGAACCAAUUUUCUGUAUGUGUUUUAUUGCCUUAUUCGAGUGAUUUAAAAUUGUUAGUUUUUCACUAACCACGCAUAACAUUUUUUUUUCUCAAAAACACAAUCAUGUACAUACAUGCUGCUCACAUAUUAUUAUAGCCCAGUUUGUGCUGAUUACAGUGAGAUUAGACUUUAGCCAUUUAGAUAUUUAUAAGAAACUGAAAAAAGCACAAAUGUCAGGGCAUGACAAAACUUCUCCAGGCCCCAAAAAUACCCUUAGACUCCAGAGGUCCAUAAAAUAAUAAUACAAGAUACAAUGUUUAAUUUUAAAGCAACUAUAUGUAGUUUUUUUUUUUUUUUUACUUUUAAUAUCAAUUUCAAAAUCAUUCUGAUGGUUCACUGACCUACAGUAACUCAACUGGCUUCUGUUCCCUUUCAGUCAGUCACAGUGACUGACGAAUCGGGGAUCUUGCUAGAGAGGCGAAUCGCAUUCGAGUGUUAACAAAACAAGCCAAUGAAUGUUGGCGUGCAAGAUUUGCAUCGCGCACCCCACACCGCAGCGCGGGUAUAUAAGGAGAGCGCACGCAGUCACAUAUUCAGCUUUUCGCUUCGGAGCCGAGCCUUCAGCUUCCUGAGCAGAGUCUCAUCAAGACAGCCUUUUGACGAGUGUUGGUGUUACGGUGUGUCAGCGGGGGUUGCCAGUGCUGCUGCCUUUUUCUCAGCGUGCUGCAGCUUCCCAUUCUGCGGUCACGCUGCAACUCCUCCUGGGCGCUUCAACACUUCAUUGUUUUUUCAAACUAAAAAAGCAAUUCCUAAGAGAGCUCCACGAGUGACGGGGCAUCUUUUUAAAGAUGUCUUUCCACUCGUGCAUUUCUGGAUGUGG